CUUCCUGCUGUCUGGAUUCGGCAACAUCGUUGGAAGCGGAGAGAAGCACAGCGGCCUGAAUCACACUCAGCCUGGCCACUCAAGUCUGUGAUAGAUACCAAAAUGUUCAGCUCGGUUCGUCCUCCUGCUUGUUCAUCUCGUGGCUGUGAGCUGACUGGACGAAACGAGAUUGAGGUGGGAGUGGCGCGGCGACUGCAGGAUUCACGCCGCCUCAUCUCCCUCGUGCACUUCCCGUCGUGAGGAGGUGAGAGGACCGCCCCUUGUGUUUUGUUGCGAUGACUGGGAACUUGAGUGUGGCGCCGCGCGACUGUCACGUCCCACGUGUGUCCCGCUGGAGGUGUCUGUGUUGUGGAGCACCGAGCGUCCCUCUGCGCCACGUGGGGUUGACGGGACCAACGUGAAGGUGACGACUUAGAGAGUUCCCCGCCCGGUACCGCAAAGAGCUGCCAGUCACCCUUAAGGCUACAACUUGCAGAUGGGCCCUAAACAUGGGACACCUCCACGGCGGGUUGCAUAAGAAGGUGAGAUUGAUCACCUGACCGUUCAUUAAGGGACUCGGCGAUCUUGUCACUGACUCCUUCGCGCUCCAUUUGUCUUCAUGGAGAGCAGCACCCGACCUCCACCGCCUCCCCCGCCCACCAGCCGCAGCCGCUCAGCCAACCCAACACCCAGAUGGAAAGAGAAGGGGAAGAGGAGGAGUGGUGUGUGCGAGGAAACAUCACAGCACAUUGAAUGAAGACCCCCACGAGGCUCUUGUAUAGAAAACGAAUUGACAGAACCUAUACAGAACGUCUGGACAUGUUGAAGCUGAUUUAGCACGUAUCUUCACCAAACCUGAUGCUGUAAGGAAGUCGUGCUC
Long non-coding RNA from Scylla paramamosain (green mud crab), 859 nucleotides. RefSeq lists it as uncharacterized. Lineage: Eukaryota; Metazoa; Arthropoda; Malacostraca; Decapoda; Portunidae. The transcript has 9 exons. The record is from RefSeq and is a predicted model, not a curated record.